Etheostoma spectabile (orangethroat darter) is the source of this 141-nucleotide long non-coding RNA. RefSeq lists it as uncharacterized. Lineage: Eukaryota; Metazoa; Chordata; Actinopteri; Perciformes; Percidae. The transcript has 4 exons. The record is from RefSeq and is a predicted model, not a curated record.
CCCUCAAUCUCACUUGGCAAAUAAAAGACAACAAUUUCUAUUACUGGGGAAAUAUCACCGUUCAUUCUGUAACUUCUACUAAAAAUAGGUUUCAAGAUUAGUGGUGUUGUUCAGGCCAACCACCUACCCUACCUAUGUUAU